GCACGAUCCCGGGAGGGUGCCCUGGGCUCUCACGCAGACCGAGGCGAUGGGGCUCGGCGACGAGCUGGUCGCGUCGGCGGCCGUGCGC
RNAcentral lists this transfer RNA (88 nucleotides) under Microbacterium flavescens. RNAcentral describes it as "tRNA-Val". RNAcentral also lists the same sequence under 1 other name. Lineage: Bacteria; Bacillati; Actinomycetota; Actinomycetes; Micrococcales; Microbacteriaceae. The record is from RNAcentral.